GAAUAGCCGCCGGAUGAACGGGUGUCAUUGAUGUUGACAAUUAUGGGAUAAUCUCGCUAUUCU
Molecule: transfer RNA, 63 nt
Filed under: Facelina auriculata
Lineage: Eukaryota; Metazoa; Mollusca; Gastropoda; Nudibranchia; Facelinidae
Also listed under: 1 other name
Description: tRNA-Ile
Source: RNAcentral